CUUAAAUCGUUUUUGACAUUACCGUAACCCAGCUGCCAUGGUUGUGUGACCAAUGAGAUGCAGUUGGCAAAUGUUUCUGCCGAUAGUCUCAGCCUGAGCUGGAGGAGAAUAGCUGUCAGUCAGAGGCCCUGGAGAAGCAGCACGCUGCGGUUCAGAAGACACUGGACCAGCUGGCGGCCGCCAUCAGCGACCUUUUAGGCGACGUGAUGCGAGAAGUUGUCGUCGUCAAUUCUGACAACAUUGUACACAAUAUCGGUAUCCUUGAGGAGAGAGUUGGUCACCUGCUGCUCCAGGCCAACAAUGCCAGCAACGAGAGGAUUAUGUUACUUCAGAACAUGCUUUUGGCCAACUUUGACUUGCUACCAGGAGAGGAGGAAGUCAUGGAAACGCCACGCAGCAGGUCUGCUUCACGUUCACCCAAGGAAACCCGAUAAGACAGAAGAUGGUGUCGUCUCAUCCUUCCUCCCUCCGCAGGGGUUCAACAGCCUCUCACACAGUCUAGGUGGCAAUAAACAACUCACGACGGCGUUACACACGUUUUCGUUUUUUUUUAGCACACAGAACAAAAACGCCGUCAUUGAGAAUUAAAUGAGA
Molecule: long non-coding RNA, 594 nt
Organism: Gasterosteus aculeatus aculeatus (three-spined stickleback)
Lineage: Eukaryota; Metazoa; Chordata; Actinopteri; Perciformes; Gasterosteidae
Source: Ensembl